Taeniopygia guttata (zebra finch) is the source of this 1367-nucleotide non-coding RNA. The record is from RefSeq and is a predicted model, not a curated record. Lineage: Eukaryota; Metazoa; Chordata; Aves; Passeriformes; Estrildidae.
AUAUAAAUUUAUCGUGUCAGAUUAAGGCCACUUAAGGAAAAUUUAAACAAUUUCUUCGUUUCUAUCAACCACCACCUCAUCUCGAAUAAACGGAGAACGUUCCAUGAACCGCGUUGGUUCAGAUCUGCCUUUGUCCUCUCCAGCUUUUGGUUUUCCUGAGGUUCUCUGGAUUUUGGGGACACUCGUGGGGUUUCUCUCCCCAGGGUGGCUCCUCUGGUGGACCUUCAGGUGGAAUUUCCAACCGAAGUUCUCCCCACACUCGUGGGGUUUCUCCCCACAUCAGGUUGAAGUUCUCACCAAAGUUCUCCCCACACUUGUAGGGUUUCUCCCCACAUCAGGCUGAAGUUCUCACCAAAGCUCUCCCCACACUUGUAGGGUUUCUCCCCAGAUCAGGUUGAAGUUCUCACCAAAGUUCUCCCCACACUUGUAGGGUUUCUCCCCAGAUCAUCACCAAAGCUCUCCCCACACUUGUAGAGUUUCUCCCCAGGGUGGCUCCUCUGGUGGACCUUCAGUUGGGAUUUCCAACCGAAGCUCGCCCCACACUUGUGGGGUUUCUCCCCAAAUCAUCACCAAAGUUCUCCCCACACUCGUGGGGUUUCUCCCCAAAUCCGGCUGAAGUUCUCACCAAAGUUCUCCCCACACUCGUAGGGUUUCUCCCUUUCUCCCCAGAUCAGGCUGAAGUUCUCACCAAAGCUCUCCCCACACUUGUAGGGUUUGUCCCCAGGGUGGCUCCUCUGGUGGACCUUCAGGUGGGAUUUCCAACUGAAGUUCUCCCCACACUCGUGGGGUUUCUCCCCAGAUCAGGCUGAAGUUCUCACCAAAAUUCUCCCCACACUUGUAGGGUUUCUCCCCAAAUCAGUCUGAAGUUCUCACCAAAGCUCUCCCCACACUCGUGGGGUUUCUCCCCAGAUCAGUCUGAAGUUCUCACCAAAGUUCUCCCCACACUCGUGGGGUUUCUCCCCAGAUCAUCACCAAAGCUCUCCCCACACUUGUAGGGUUUCUCCAUUUCUCCCCAGAUCUGGCUGAAGUUCUCACCAAAGCUCUCCUCACACUUGUAGGGUUUCUCCCCAGAUCAUCACCAAAGUUCUCCCCACACUCGUGGGGUUUGUCCCCAGGGUGGCUCCUCUGGUGGACCUUCAGUUGGGAUUUCCAACCGAAGCUCUCCCCACACUCGUGGGGUUUCUCCCCAGAUCUGGCUGAAGUUCUCACCAAAGCUCUCCCCACACUCGUGGGGUUUCUCCCCACAUCAGGCUGAAGUUCUCACCAAAGCUCUCCCCACACUCGCGGCGUUUCUCCCCGGCGCGGCUCCUCUGCUGGACAACCACUUGGCAUCUCCUGGGUGACUCUGCCCACACCGGGGACACUCG